This 3371-nucleotide long non-coding RNA is filed under the name Vigna radiata. RNAcentral's name for it is "long non-coding RNA (VRAD_LNC004153)". The record is from RNAcentral. Lineage: Eukaryota; Viridiplantae; Streptophyta; Magnoliopsida; Fabales; Fabaceae.
GAGAAUUGAUGGAUUCGUAAUAUUAGAUGAGGAAUAGAUAAGAUUAGUGAGCGGUUGUGGAUCAGAAACAUUAUAUCUUUUUAAGGUUCAUACGGUGAAAGAACCACAACAUCAACAUUUGGGAAAGAAAGAAGCCACCCAGAAGGAGAUGAACCCGAAUCCAUCACAGAAAAACUCAUCAUACUUCUCUACACCAGUAGAAUUACAUGGAAUUUAUUUUUAGAAUUAUAUAUUAAAUAAAGUUAAAUUGUGUUCAAAUUCGUCAUUAAUGUCUGCUUCAUAUACCAGCUGUUAGAGUCUAUUGACGGAGUCGCAAUAUUGAAUGAGGAUUAGAUAAGGUCACUGAGUGGUUGUGGAUCAGAACCAUUAUAUCUUUUCAGGUUCAUAUGGACAACCAACUACAACAUCAACAUCUCGAAUCGAAAAGAAAGAAGCCACUCAGAAGGAGAUGAACCCGAAUCCAUCACAGCAAAACUCAUCAUGCUUCUCUUCACAAGGAGAAUCACACAUGGUAUUUAUUUUUAGAAUUAUAUAUUAAAUAAAGUUAAAUUAUGUUCAAAUUCGCCAUUAAUGUCUGCUUCACAUACUGAUAAAGAAUAUUGACGAAGUCACAAUAUUAAAUGAGGAUUAGAUAAGGUUAGUGAGUGUUGUGGAUCAGAAACAUUAUAUCUUUUUCAGGUUCAUAUAUGGAGAAAGAACCACCACAUCAACAUCUCGAAUUGGAAAGAAAAAGAAGCCACCCAGAAGGAGCUCAACCCGAAUCCACCACACCAAAACUCAUCAUGCUUCUCUACCCAAGGAGAACCACACAUGGGUAACUUAAUUUUAUACCUUGGUUAACUUUGUUCACUUUUUAUUUUAUAAAAAAUAAUUAUAUUUCUUAGAAGUUUAAUCGUUCCCAGAUUCUGUUUGAGUUGAGAAUCUCAAACAGGUUUCUUAAUUUUGAAAAAUUACUCCAAUUAAACUUGCUGUUAAAUGAGGUCAAUAGUGUUAGACAGACAUUGAUAUGUUGAUAUUAUUGUUUUAAAUGAUGUGGCUUAUGUUAUUUAUUAUAGGUGAUUCUAACGUUUAUUUUCUAAAUUAAAGAAACUGAAAAAUUAAAAAAAAAAUUGGAAAAAGUUAGUUUAGGGUUCAUUCACAAAAAAUCAAUUGAGAAAUUAAGGUUCAUUCGAAUUUUGGAAAAUCAGGGUUUAUUUGAAGUUACUUCCAUAGAACUUGCCUAACCUUGUUGAGGUAUCGAAAGCACAACACACAUCUUCUGCAAGAGAGCCAGAUCAAAGACUUAAUCGCCAGGAGGUUUUUUGUGCGACUGGGAUUUCACUCAUAGAAGUGAAUCAAUUGACCAAAACAAGGGAUAUGGAUGUUCGUCUUUCACAUCUGGCCUUGAUUAGAGAAGUGGCCCAAUUAAAUAAUGCAUGAAUAUAUUUGGUACAAGAAGAUAUGGUAUUUGAUGGUCGAUCCUCCGAGGAGUCCUAUCAAAAAACUUAUUAAUUGUUUCACAAACUUACCAAAUCGUUCAAGUAAUAAAAUCAUGAUAAAAUCAUGUGUCGUUUUCCUAAGAGACUCGUGUAAUACUAAAUAAUCAUACAAUUAGUAAAUCAUCUAGACUAAAGAAUAGUUCAUGAAUUUACAACAAUAUACAAGUAAAUAAAGAUGUAUAAAAAGGGGUGGACUUUGGUAAUUGGAGACACUGAAAAGUGGAAAAAGGGUAGAAAUGAUAUGGAAUGGCAAUGUUAGGGGUAGAUUUAACCGGCUUCAUGCUUUUGCACAUGCGGAAUCAUCUCAACUCCAUCAAAUUCUAAUGUCAACCCUCUAAAACACUCAAACCUUAAUCCCUUAGGUGAGAGAGCCUAAGUUUUCUUACUAAGCGUCAAUCCCUUGAUCAUUCAACAAGCGGACCCACAUUACGACCUAAGAUUUUAGACAACUAAUGGGUCAUGUUCCAUCCAUAGACACAAAUCCCUUCUAGAUCUCUUAUUUCAAGCCUAGGAUUCAUUAGAUUUUUCCUAACACCUAAGGAAACUGUAAAUCAAGCUAAGAACGUCCCUAUUCCCGCAAGCAUUAAGAGUAAAAACAAGAAAAUAACAUUUAAAUGAAGAUGCAUAUAUAUAAUCAAAGCAUUUAUAAGGUACAAGAUGUUGACAACACAAUAUCUAUAUCACUCUUUUUUUUAUGAUGACAACACAUUUUUAAUAGCACACAUAUGUUGUUGUUGUGUUACAUGUUCUUAUGCUGAUUGAUUGAUAUAUUGUUGAACAUGUUUUUCUGUUUUACUACUAUGUGAAUGCAUUCUUAUUGAACUUGUGCAUGUUACAUCAUAUCUGAUUGCAUUACACAUGUUUGAAAGGAUGAAAACCACAUGCACUUUUGUGAACUUAUAACUGUGUGACAAAGCUGCAGUAAAGUCGACUCCAUUACUAAUUGAAUUGACUAUGCUAAAGUCUUUGUACAGAUUUUGAGAAAUAGUGCUAUGUGAGAUUUUGUGAAGGAAAGAAUUUCAAAAUGCUUUGACAUGUCGAAGUCAACUGUGUGCACCACACAUUUGACUAUAUUAGUUGUUUGCUUUGAAAUUUUGUUAUGCUCAUGAACAGUAACGACUGUAUUUUCAAAAGUUAGUUGAGCAUUGAUUGAGAGUCAACUAUAUUGAAUGAGAAUUUAUUUGGUUUGACUGAAUGCUACCGGUCUGACUUAUCUGUUAUAACUGUUUUAACAUAGUCGAUUGGAUUAGUAGCAUAUUCGACUAAGGGAGCCUCUGAUUAACAAAAUUCUAUAAAUAGACAGAACAAUUGUUCUGAGACUUUUGGACAUAUUUUGAUCUAACACUUUCAUAUUCUGUUUCAGAUUGUUCCUUUGGAUUUAUAGAGCUCCAAGAACUCUUCAAGAAGACGGUGGUGAUCUUUCUUGAAGGAGAUUCAAAGGGAGACUGACUGCGUGCUCAUUGCUUGAUCACAUAUCUGCACAUUGAGGUGUCUUUAGGUUUAUCAAGAUUCAUAUUGGCAUCCGUGGUGAUUGCUGUUGGUACCUGUUGUGAUUAUAGGGGAUAGACUCGUGGAGUCUUGUUUACUUUGAGGACUGUUCAAAAUGGUUUUGCAGAUUGCAGGAGAGGGAACAUCUUGCUGCAAGUUUUGCUAGGUUGUUUUGGCUAUAUUUUGGUUAGAGGGUUAGAGAGGAGAUUUAUAUUUUUGACGUGGAGGUCUUCUAUAAAUUCUUUGUUGUAAAAACAUUGAUCAUUAUAGUGCAAUUGCUUCCUGGUAUUAGAAGGACACUGGAUGUAGGCAUUGAGGCCGAACCAGUAUAAAAACCAGUGUUUGAAUUUCUCUAUUUCUGAACUUUUACUUAUAAUCAACUUUACUUUCUGCGCAGUCAUCUAC